CCUACGGGUGGCAGCAGUGAGGAAUAUUGGUCAAUGGCCGAGAGGCUGAACCAGCCAAGUCGCGUGAGGGAAGACGGCCCUACGGGUUGUAAACCUCUUUUGUCGGGGAGCAAAGAGAGCCACGUGUGACUCAUUGAGAGUACCCGAAGAAAAAGCAUCGGCUAACUCCGGGCCAGCAGCCGCGGUAAUACGGAGGAUGCGGGCGUUAUCCGGGUUUAUUGGGUUUAAAGGGGGCGAAGGCGGAGGUGCAAGUCAGCGGUAAAAUUGCGGGGCUCAACCCCGUACUGCCGUUGAAACUGCAUCCCUUGAGUGCGCGAGAAGUAUGCGGAAUGCGUGGUGUAGCGGUGAAAUGCAUAGAUAUCACGCAGAACUCCGAUUGCGAAGGCAGCAUACCGGCGCGCAACUGACGCUCAUGCACGAAAGCGUGGGUAUCGAACAGGAUUAGAUACCCUAGUAGUC
RNAcentral lists this ribosomal RNA (459 nucleotides) under uncultured bacterium. RNAcentral describes it as "partial 16S ribosomal RNA". It matches the Rfam family "Bacterial small subunit ribosomal RNA", at positions 338 to 795 of the family's 1533-position model. The record is from RNAcentral.